This 556-nucleotide long non-coding RNA is filed under the name Pongo abelii (Sumatran orangutan). RNAcentral's name for it is "lincRNA". Lineage: Eukaryota; Metazoa; Chordata; Mammalia; Primates; Hominidae. The record is from RNAcentral.
UUAGUUCUCAUACUAACGACAUCAAGUUUGUUCACACUUCUCUUUACCAUUGCCUUUGGGUAGUCCUCUGGUCCACUGACAAUAGACUUGACCAUGUCACUUUCUUUGAUCAAUGAAACAGCAGCAAUGAGACACAAGCAAAGAAUUGAAAAGUGAUGGACCACUGGAACUUUUCUUCUUUUGCUGAUUUUGGAACCCUGCUGGAUAACAGACUGGCCCAGUCUACCCCUUCACCUCAGCUGUGACACCUACUUGACUGCAUCUGCUUGAUAAAUAAGAAGAACCAGCUGGUACCUGUAACGUAAAAGAACAGCAUGAAUACAGCAACAAAGCAAAUCAUGAUUCCGAAUGUCACAAUCAUCUUGGAUCUUCACAUUUGCAUCAAAAUGUUGGGGAUCUUUUUAUCUUCAUGUAACGAAGCCCUGGCUAGCCUAAUGGAGGAACCACCUGCAGCAGAAACAAGCCAUCCCAACGGAGGAUUCCUAAUGCCAAACAAGAAAGUUGCAACCAUCCUAAACUCUUCAGCCUCAGUCAAAUCACCAGCUGAUGGUAGAAA